This 478-nucleotide ribosomal RNA is filed under the name uncultured bacterium. RNAcentral's name for it is "partial 16S ribosomal RNA". It matches the Rfam family "Bacterial small subunit ribosomal RNA", at positions 28 to 507 of the family's 1533-position model. The record is from RNAcentral.
GAUGAACGCUGGCGGCGUGCUUAACACAUGCAAGUCGAACGAGAAGUGGAGACGGAAACCUUCGGGCGGAAGACUUUAUUUCGAGUGGCGGACGGGUGAGUAACGCGUGGGUAACCUGCCUCAUACAGGGGGAUAACAGUUGGAAACGACUGUUAAUACCGCAUCAGACCACAGCACCGCAUGGUGCGGGGGUAAAAACUCCGGUGGUAUGAGAUGGACCCGCGUUCGAUUAGCCAGUUGGCGGGGUAACGGCCCACCAAAGCGACGAUCGAUAGCCGAUCUGAGAGGAUGACCGGCCACAUUGGGACUGAGACACGGCCCAAACUCCUACGGGAGGCAGCAGUGGGGAAUAUUGCACAAUGGGGGAAACCCUGAUGCAGCGACGCCGCGUGAGUGAAGAAGUAUUUCGGUAUGUAAAGCUCUAUCAGCAGGGAAGAAAAUGACGGUACCUGAGGAAGAAGCCCCGGCUAACUACGUG